RNAcentral lists this ribosomal RNA (405 nucleotides) under uncultured bacterium. Its description in RNAcentral is "partial 16S ribosomal RNA". It matches the Rfam family "Bacterial small subunit ribosomal RNA", at positions 30 to 526 of the family's 1533-position model. The record is from RNAcentral.
AUUGAACGCUGGCGGCAUGCCUAACACAUGCAAGUCGAACGAGUGGCGGACGGGUGAGUAAUGCUUGGGAAUCUGGCUUAUGGAGGGGGAUAACGUCGGGAAACCGUCGCUAAUACCGCGUACCAUAGGAGGAUCCCAAGUGGGAUUAGGUUGUUGGUGGGGUAAUGGCCUACCAAGCCGACGAUCUCUAGCUGGUCUGAGAGGAUGACCAGCCAAACCGGGACUGAGACACGGCCCGGAGUCCUACGGGAGGAAGCAGUGGGGAAUAUUGCGCAAUGGGGGCAGCCGGACGCAGACAUGCGGCGUGAAUGAAGAAGGCCUUCGGGUUGUAAAGUUCUUUCGGUGACGAGGCGUUAAUCACAGAAGAAGCACCGGCUAACUCCGUGCCAGCAGCCGCGGUAAUUC